GUUCCGUAGAUUUUGAUAUUCAUUAUUUUAGAUUCCAUUAUUUUGUAUAGUAAAAUGGAAAUUUAACUUUUUGGAACACAGGAGAGUUUUGCCGUAUGAUUGAAGAUAGAGCAUAAUCGAUCAUACAAAUAUAAUAAAUCAAGGUUAAGGUUAAAAUUGAAUAUUGUAACCAAUCACGUUCGUCAAAUCCACCUAAAUCGGUGCUUCACGUCACACAUAUUUGCUUCACGUAAACAUCAAGAAUACCUAAAAAUAUACGAAAUCAUUUAUUUACAUAAACGCAAACCCAACAACACUAACCACGAGAUCAGAACUAGUAGUAGCAAACGCAUCUCCAGCGACCGCAGGGACAGUAGUAAGUAGAUCGCUUUGACGUUUCAAGACAAGAGAGACAUCUCACGGCGAAGAGCAGAGCCAAUGGAACCGCGGCUAGGAGGAGCCAACUCAGCACAUCUUCGCCUGAGGAGACAGCAACUUCGAAUUUAACGACGGAGGAAAGGGCUAAGAGGACGAGGGCCACCGUGAUCAUGACUAUUACCGGCAACGGAGACGUCGAUACUCUACACCGUCCGCAGCAGCAGCCGUGGUAAUGCAUCGCCCUCUCACUGUUUUCUUUGGUUUGUUUAAUGGUUUACUUAUUGAUUUGUCAAAUGCUAGCUUUUUAUUCCUCGGAAGAUAGUGAAACAAAGAAAGAUAAAGCGAGAGAUAAUGGUUUGUUAGGUACACUAUAAAUGAUAUUAUUAUGGUCGAUGAUGAUACCACUCACUGUUUUUAGAAAAAAACAUAAGUACUAGCUAGUGGGGUAACGAAGGAAUUUAUGUGGUAAUUUACAUAUGUGUUUUGUGGAUUAGUCAGACCAUAGUUUCUCUAAUUUCAAGGGAUAUUCGUAUUGAUACUAAGCUGAUUAAGUAUUUGGUUUCAUCAUAUUUAUUUUGCGUUUUUCUUAGGACAAAUUACAAAGAUCUUCUAUCCUUGAUGUUGUCUCGAUGCAAAUUACAUUUGGAUCGAUCCCACCCGCAUAUUUCUCGACCUCUCCUUUCCUUAGAGUGCUCAAGCGAUUUCUAAUGUUAUUUUGCGUUUAUAUCAUCUUCACUUUGUUAAUUAAGUAUUUUCUUAGUCUUCCUUUGCUUAGCUUUCGCUAGCUAUCGUCUCAUACACACAAUACACAUGGAGUUCUCAAUUCAACCAAAAGACAAGUGAAAUUUG
This is a long non-coding RNA of Arabidopsis thaliana (thale cress), 1206 nucleotides long. RefSeq annotates it as other RNA. The record is from RefSeq. Lineage: Eukaryota; Viridiplantae; Streptophyta; Magnoliopsida; Brassicales; Brassicaceae. The transcript has a single exon.